AGAGUUUGAUCCUGGCUCAGGACGAACGCUGGCGGCGUGCCUAAUACAUGCAAGUCGAGCGAACCAAUGGGAGCUUGCUCCCUAAGGUUAGCGGCGGACGGGUGAGUAACACGUGGGUAACCUGCCUGUAAGAUUGGGAUAACUCCGGGAAACCGGAGCUAAUACCGGAUAACAUUUUGAACCGCAUGGUUCAAAAUUGAAAGGCGGCUUUUAGCUGUCACUUACAGAUGGACCCGCGGCGCAUUAGCUAGUUGGUGAGGUAACGGCUCACCAAGGCGACGAUGCGUAGCCGACCUGAGAGGGUGAUCGGCCACACUGGGACUGAGACACGGCCCAGACUCCUACGGGAGGCAGCAGUAGGGAAUCUUCCGCAAUGGACGAAAGUCUGACGGAGCAACGCCGCGUGAACGAUGAAGGCCUUCGGGUCGUAAAGUUCUGUUGUUAGGGAAGAACAAGUACCAGAGUAACUGCUGGUACCUUGACGGUACCUAACCAGAAAGCCACGGCUAACUACGUGCCAGCAGCCGCGGUAAUACGUAGGUGGCAAGCGUUGUCCGGAAUUAUUGGGCGUAAAGCGCGCGCAGGCGGUUUCUUAAGUCUGAUGUGAAAGCCCACGGCUCAACCGUGGAGGGUCAUUGGAAACUGGGGAACUUGAGUGCAGAAGAGGAGAGUGGAAUUCCACGUGUAGCGGUGAAAUGCGUAGAGAUGUGGAGGAACACCAGUGGCGAAGG
Molecule: ribosomal RNA, 731 nt
Filed under: uncultured bacterium
Lineage: Bacteria
Description: bacterial SSU rRNA
Rfam family: Bacterial small subunit ribosomal RNA
Source: RNAcentral